AAAAGUCAGACAAACAUGGAAAGGUUGCAGGAAGGGAGUGUGAAGCUGAGGUGUUUUGGUUCUUUUUUAAUAGGAAAGAUUAGAGCAUAUUUAAAUGCUGAUGGGAUGGGUCAAAAUUGAAAACAUAAGAGAAGGAGGAAAGGAUGCAUAGAGUAAAUUGUUUUAGAAGCUGAGAGAGGAUGGCAUCCCAACCACACAUGGAGAUGCCGGCCCUGAUGAGAAAAGGAGCAGGAGGACAGGAGAGGCUGCAGGCAGAGGCUGAUGCGUCUGUUGCUGGUAGAGCGAAAGGAGCGAGUUUCUUCAGAUCAGCAAAUGUCAACAGACAUGAGUUCUAUUACGGAGACCGAUUUGAUCAGAAGCAGAGGGAAGCAAUGUUAACUGUGGAAAAUCUUUGAACUAACACAGAGGAACCUUUUAAAUUAAUCUAUGACAGUCAAUAGAAAAAAAAAAGUCCAGUAAAAAAAAUGACAGUAAAGAAUAAGAAGCAGAUUUAUUCAGGAGUCCCCAAAGGACACAGAUUAUCAU
This 525-nucleotide long non-coding RNA is filed under the name Homo sapiens (human). RNAcentral describes it as "HSALNT0138233". The record is from RNAcentral. Lineage: Eukaryota; Metazoa; Chordata; Mammalia; Primates; Hominidae.